AUAUUAGUAAUGGGCGAAAGCCUGAACUAGCAACGCCGCGUGUGCGAAGAAGGCCUUCGGGUUGUAAAGCACUUUUUGAGAGGAUGAGGAAGGACGGUACUCUCAGAAUAAGUCUCGGCUAACUACGUGCCAGCAGCCGCGGUAACACGUAGGAGGCAAACGUUAUCCGGAUUUACUGGGCGUAAAGCGCGUGUAGGUGGUUUGGUAAGUAGGGCGUGAAAGCUCCUGGCUCAACUGGGAGAGGACGUUCUAAACUGCCAAGCUUGAGGAUGGUAGAGGGAGGGGGGAUUCCGGGUGUAGCGGUGGAAUGCGCAGAUAUCCGGAGGAACACCAGUGGCGAAGGCGGCCUGCUGGACCACUCCUGACACUCAGACGCGAAAGCUAGGGUAGCAAACGG
This 397-nucleotide ribosomal RNA is filed under the name uncultured bacterium. RNAcentral's name for it is "bacterial SSU rRNA". It matches the Rfam family "Bacterial small subunit ribosomal RNA", at positions 359 to 775 of the family's 1533-position model. The record is from RNAcentral.